This 406-nucleotide ribosomal RNA is filed under the name uncultured bacterium. RNAcentral's name for it is "partial 16S ribosomal RNA". It matches the Rfam family "Bacterial small subunit ribosomal RNA", at positions 30 to 526 of the family's 1533-position model. The record is from RNAcentral.
AUUGAACGCUGGCGGCAGGCCUAACACAUGCAAGUCGAACGAGUGGCGGACGGGUGAGUAAUGUCUGGGAAACUGCCUGAUGGAGGGGGAUAACUACUGGAAACGGUAGCUAAUACCGCAUACCAUCAGAUGUGCCCAGAUGGGAUUAGCUUGUUGGUGGGGUAACGGCUCACCAAGGCGACGAUCCCUAGCUGGUCUGAGAGGAUGACCAGCCACACUGGGACUGAGACACGGUCCAGACUCCUACGGGAGGCAGCAGUGGGGAAUAUUGCGCAAUGGGCGAAAGCCUGAUGGAGCCAUGCCGCGUGAAUGAAGAAGGCCUUCGGGUUGUAAAGCUCUGUCAGCGGGGAGGCGUUACCCGAAGAAGAAGCACCGGCUAACUCCGUGCCAGCAGCCGCGGUAAUUC